AAGUAAGAAACAAUAUCUUGUAUUUAGUUUCGACCUAAAAUUUUGGUAUAUUUCUACCCUUACUUU
This 66-nucleotide transfer RNA is filed under the name Curculionoidea sp. 30 KM-2017. RNAcentral describes it as "tRNA-Arg". Lineage: Eukaryota; Metazoa; Arthropoda; Insecta; Coleoptera. The record is from RNAcentral.